UUAUUACAUAUAUUAGGUUUUUUUUUUUUUUUUUGUAAAAAUAUAUAUAUAUGAACUCAUAAUGCCAGAUACAUAGAAUUAAGCCAACAAUUCAAUAUUUGAUAUUAAUAUGCAAUGAAUUUUUUAACAUUAAUGUCUUAUUUUUCUUUUUGCAAAAUUAUUAACUCUCUCCUUACAAUCUGCAUAGAAUUAAUUGUGCACAUCAAAUAUGCAAUAGGGGUAUUUUAGGCAUCUAAAAAUGUAAAAUGUGUAAAGUAAUAUGUAAUUAAUGAAUUCACUUAGGUGGAUCCUAGUCACUGGAAUUUUUUUUUUUUUUGUGUAAAAAAAUUAUGUUGGGUUUUAUAUGAAAAAAUUUGAAUUUGAAGGGUUAAGUCAGAUUUUCAGUUAUUUAUAUUCUAGAUUUUGUAAUCAGUCUUAGUUAUUAUAUCUUUUAUUAAGAAAGUCUUAGUUAUUAUAUCUUUUAUUAAGAAAAUCUGAUUAAAUAUUGAAUUAUAAGACACUAUAAAGUAACUUUAGAACAUACUCCACUAAUGAUCGUGGUAAUUGUACACGCACCUGAGACAUCGAGAGGGGAGUGGCCAUUUUCUUUGAACAGCUCAAAGUGAUGCAACAAUGAGAACAUCGUCGGCGACUGGGUCCAAAGCGAAGCCACCGGAAUAUUCCUCCUAAUCCCGAUCCUCAAAGCCCAAACAAGGAAGGUAUCAGCAACUAUGGCGGUCACCGGCUGCUCGAGCCCAUCCAUAAGCUGCUCAACCGGAGCUUCCAGCUUGGUCCACACAGCUUCCGCAAACGCGGCAAAGUGGUUCGCGCGACCGUGCUCUGAGGGUAGGACGUUAGGUAUGGUGGCUAAUCGGAUGUUGUCGGGUUUUGGGUCGGACUCGAUCAGCCCGUGCCACUCUUCGGUGACGACGAAGGUGAUGAGCAGUUGAGGGUUUUUUGAAGAUAGUAGCUUGCAGAGGUUCAUCAUGGGGUUGAUGUGGCCUCUUCCAGGAGUGGGCAAAGCCACCACGUGGCAGACUGUGAUUGGCUCAACUUCCCCUGUGCCCAUUUCUCCCUUGUAUGAAGAUUGAAUAUUGAAGCUUUGGAGCUAUUGCCAUCCCUUCUUAUGUAUAAUAUGCAAGUUGACUGAAGGGUCAUGGGGAGCUGCUUGCGUGAAACUCUUUGAAGACAAAAAUACCCUCAUGGUCGCCAUGAGUGUAACAAGUGUGUAAAAAGUAUUUGUGAUUGACGCUUUGUCCAAUUAAUCUUGGAAAGCGAUUCUCCUGAUUCUUUCUUCAUAAUCCACCAAAUUCAAAAAUUCAGGCUGUUGAAAUUUGAUUUUACGGCUACAAACAGGGGCCCAAUUUAAAAGUUAUAUUAACUUUAGUCGUUGAAUCAAAUUUCAACAAUCCGGAUUCCCGAACUUGAUGGAUUAUAAGAAAUGGAUCCGAAGAUGAUCUCUUUCCAUUAAUCUUUUUCAAAAGUAUAUAAAAGGAAUUUUCAAUUGACUCUUUUUAAAUAGUCAUUUUCAAAUUUCUUUCGUAUGUCUUUGUAACGCACAUGUUGUAGAAAAUGCGGAUCGUUUUUCUUGACAAAGUGAGUAGAAAAUUCGAUGUUAGGGCAAGCAUGAGCCAUGCCUUUCAACCCACGUGGGAUCUAGAAGUUGACACCCAAAUGUAAACUUGAAAAGUAUUUUUUUUUUGUUGGAAAUUUGAAAAGUAACAUUAAGAAAACUAAAAAGUAAUGCUAGGCAGAUUAAACUAGCAAACUAAAUGAUGUGUCACUAAUAAAAAUAAAUAAACACGUUAAUCAAUAGUUAAUAAUAAUUCAAUUAUUAACUUUCAUUUUAAUUUAUUAAAUUUAGUCAACAAAUGUAGUCACCAUAACAUUAUCCAAAACUAAAAUGGAUCCACCUCUUCUUCUUAUCCAGCAACCUUAGAUCCCAAUAGGUUGACGGAGAACAACACCACGUACCUCUCCACUGGAAACUCCCACCUCGAUCACUUCGUCAACAUCGUGACGAGAAGCUCCCGCAAGCCUGGGCCUACAAGGUGCGGAGGACCCAACGGGUGGAGUGGAGGAAAAGGAAAAGGAAAAUUAAAUAUUAAAGAGAAAAACCUUUAGUAUAUCCAUUCUCGGUACAAUUAAAUAAGAAAAGCGUUUCUAAGAGCAGUAGAUAAGCAACACCUAUCCCAAAUAUGGAACCGGAUCCUCUCCGGAUCCAAGAGAUCUGAGUACACUAAUUAAUGCAUAUAGGCUAUUGAAAUUAGAUCAAACGACUACAAACAGAGAGUUUAUCUGAAAGUUAUAAUAAUUGUAGUUGUUGGAUCAAAUUUCAAUUGUCUGGAUACAUUGAUUAGUGGGCACAUAUCUUUUUGAAUCCGGAGGGGAUCCAGUUCCCCCAAUUAUGAAUAUCUUGAAUACAAUAUCUUAAGUUUAUAAUAUUUUUUUUAGUACAUAUAACACAACCGAACCCAAAUCACCAACACAAUCUCUCCACUCAGAAGCAUCUCCACGAGCCACCCAAAAAACCCUAACACAACUACUUUUCACCGCAGCAGCAAUUUCAUCCAUUUGGGAUUUCGAAACUGAUCGGAAACUUCCCCUGGAGAUGUACAAAACUGACUUUUUGGGUUGAGAAUCUAGCCAAUGCAGAUAAUCGAUGUCGUUUUGAUUAGUGGGAAGAGUUUUUGAAAGUUCAAAGUGAGGUAUGGAUGGGCCAGUAGGGUAGAUAGGGAAAGCAAACGUGGCCUUGAAGGCUUCAAAGACUUGCGGAUCAAGCUCGUAGACUGAAGUGAACAAAAGAUACUGUGCUUUCUCUACUACUUGAGCAACUGCUUCAAGGGCCUUGGGGACGACAUUUUGAUGGUCUGCAAAAAACGCUGGAGAUAGAUCUGCAAGCUUGUGGUGCUGACUCCAGGAAUGUAUUCUACCAUCUCAUCUCCACGUUCUGCAAUUUUCACAUAACAUUUUACGUCGUGCAACAUUAUUAUAUUGUAUAUUAACCAAGAAAAAAUGUUUUUUCUUUUACAAAACCUUAAAAUUUAAGAUCCUCAAAAUUAUAGAGCAUGCAUAUAAGAAAAGUAUCUGCUAUGUAAGUAUUACAGUUGAGAAUAACUAAAUUAAAUAAUACAAAUUGUUCAUAAGAAUGUCUUAAGCUCGCAAAUACAUCUACUUGUUUAUAAAUUAGAGAAUGGCUGUACGCAAUUUUUUUCAAACUGAUACAAUUAUUUCUGGCAUAUGAAUAAAAUAUUAAGUGUCUUAAGUAUAUGAAUAAAAUAAUAUAAGAAAAUAUAACGAAAAAUCCUUAAAAACUUUAGUUUUAAUUAAAAUGACAAAAUAAAGGUAUAAGUAUGGUACCAUGAGUGAUUUUUCAAGGUAAAAAUAUUAUUAACGUUAAAUGUGAACAAUACCAUAAGUAUUUCAUUAAUAUUUCCUAAAAUAUAAUAUAUUGUCUUAAGCUAAGGAAGAAUCUAAUGUUUUUUUAAAGGGGUAUAAUUGGUGAUGAAUCACAAUUAUUCACCUAUUUAGAUUCAAAGAAAGUAAAAAUUACAUCUUAUUUUUAAUUACGAUCAAAUAAAUUCACAACUUACAAAUUAAAGACCAUGGCAUAUAAAAUUCAUAUGGUCAUGGUCAAUUUUGAGCUUUCAAGUGCAAAAUUGUUAAUAAAGCACAAAUUCAUCUCAGAAGUCUCUAACACCUCCCGAUAAUACAGGCCACGUGCUUUAUCCUUUUGGCAAGUGGCAUGUGACAAAUUACCAACUUGGAAGACAAAAAAGCAUUUAAUAUUUCAGGGUUCGUAAUCAUUCUCAGUUAUACGCAUCAAAAUCUUUCGCGCAACUGUGCUCGAAGGGUAUGACGUUGGGUAUGGUGGCUAAUCGGAUGUUGUCGGGUUUUGGGUCGGAUUCAAUGAACCCGUGCCACUCUUCGGUGAUGACGAAGGUGAUGAGGAGUUGAGGGUUUUUUUGAAGAUAGUAGCUUGCAGAGGUUCAUCAUGGGGUUGAUGUGGCCUCUUCCCAGAUAAGGCAAAGCCACCACGUGGUAGACUGUGAUUGUCUCAACUUUCGCUGUGCCUAUUUCUCCCUUGUUUGAAAACUUUGAAGCUUUGAAGCUAUUGCUAUCCCUUCUCCUAUAUAAUCUAAAUUACAUAUUAAUAGAACUCUCAUUGUUAAUCAAAAAUUUAUAAAAUUACUAAUUUAAUUCUCUAAUUAAAAUUGAACAUGAAUAAGAAAUAUGGGCAGAAAUGUAAUCUUCCACAACCAAAAUUUUGUUUUUUUUAAAGCCUCACAUACAUGUGAUUCUAAUAUAUCUCUAAUAAAAAUUAAAAAUUAAAAUAAUAAAAUAAAAAAUAAAGCUCUCUCUCCUCGCUCACUCUCUUCCUCUCUCCUUCACUUAAAAAAAAACACUCACACACACACACACACACUUUGUGUGCGGCCAUAUACUAGUAUAUAAUAAGGAAAAAUAAUGAAAAAAGCUUCAAAAUUGUGAAUUUUAACUAAAAAUUUUGUAAUAAUUUUAUUUAAUAAUAAGGGAAGAGGUUCCUCUUCAGAUCCUCUUUGUGGGGAUCCGGAGGAUCAAUCAAUCGUGUCUAUUCAUCGUACAUCGUGCGGUUAAAAAUAAUCUUAAAUUUUAAUUUAAAAUUGAAUAUAAAUAGUAUUUAACAAAAACUGAUCGCAUGAUGUACGAUAAACGGAUACGAUUGAUUGAUCCUCGGUUCCCACAAAGAGGAUUUGGAGAGGAUCCUUGUCCGUUAAUAAGGACAAGAUAGAAAAAUAGAAAGAAAAAAAAAACCAAAAUAAAGGUGCGUGUAAGGAACUUCAGGCCAAGAAGACUUCUUCCAAAAUAGUGUCAGAUAAAGGCAUGCCAACUUGUAUUCAGUUUCAGCAAUAGUGUCCUUGUUCUGCUUUAGAAAUUAGUGUAGUACCUAUGUAGUUUCUGAAAUAAUUAGCGUUUAAUUUUCAGAAAUAGUGUUCAGUUUCAGAAAUAAUAUAGUACCGUUCAGUUAUAAAAAUAGUGUAAUACUGUUCAGUUUUAGAAAUAGUGUGUGUGAUGGACGCAAGCGCGUCAUUUUUUUUCUUGUAUUAAUAUAUUGAACUUUUGUUAUUUUCAUUAAAAUUUUAAGUUUUUUUUUUCAUUAAAUAAAUUUAUAAAAUGAUUUUUUUUCUAAAAUAAACUUAGACGAUACCUAUAUAUAUGCAAAUAGACUAGGGAGCUGCUUAUGAAACUCCUUGAAAGACAAAAAUACCCCCAUUGCCUCCGUCAGCAUUACAAAAGCGUAUAAAAAUGAUUCUCCUCAGCAGGUCAUUGAAGUCUUCAACAAUAUAGCCAAUGGCAGACAUAAUAAUGGUAGAAUCCUUUAGUGCUGAGACGAUUUGAAGCAAAUUCGACUAUCAAUAGACAUUUACCCAAGAAAUUUUUAAGUACAUAUAACACAACCAAACUGCAAAAAGAAAAUAAACUCCUCACUCAUAUUGAUACCUCUAGUUAUAAGUUGAAUAUAACAAUUGUAUUGAAACGCAAGCAAUCGUGUCUAAGAGCUACCACAUUCAUCAGCUUAAUGGCAAUUAUAUCCUUGUGAAAUAUCCUUAAUAAAAGCAUCAAGGUUUCUAUCAGAUGAGCCACCAUUAGCAAUUGCACCUCGACAAAUCUCUUGAAGUUGUUUAGCUCUUUCCCUCAAAUCUUUCCCUUCCUCGCUUUCCACAUCCAUAAACUUCUUCACAAUUUCUCCAAUUUCCUCGCUACUCACAAGAAGUUCGACCCCCGCCUUCUUCUUCACCCGGUAUCCAAUCCUCCAAUCUUCCACAAUCUGCUUACCGUUUGGAAUUUGAUCCCAAAAUAUAGGGAAAGUAAGAAUUGGAAGACCAGCAUAAACUGCUUCCAAAGUUGAAUUCCAACCACAAUGUGACCAAAACCCACCAAUUGAAUCGUGACACAACACCCUCAAUUGGUCACACCAAGGCACCACCAAACCCAAAUCACCAACAAAAUCUCUCAACUCACAAGCAUCUACACGAGCCACCCAAAAAACCCUAACACCACUACUUUUCACGCCAGCAACAAUUUCAUCCAUUUGGGAUUUCGAAACCGAGAGGAAACUUCCCAUGGAGAUGUACAAAACUGACUUUUUGGGUUGAGAAUCUAGCCAAUGCAGAUAAUCGAUGUCGUUUUGAUUAGUGGGAAGAGUUUUUGAAAGUUCAAAGUGAGGUAUGGAUGGGCCAAUAGGGUAGAUAGGGAAAACAAACUUCGCUUUGAGGGCUUCAAAGACUUGCGGAUCAAGCUCGUAGACUGAAGUGAACAAAAGAUACUUUGCUUUCUCUGCUUCAGAAAUUCCUUCAAUUGCCUUGUGGAGGACUUUUGGAUCGUCUGUGAAAAAGAUUGCGGGUAGAUCUGCAAUGCAUGUGGUGCUGACUCCAGGAAUGUAUUCUACUAUCUCAUCUCCACGCUCUGUAAUUUUCACAUGAUAAUUUACGUCGUACAACAUUAUUAUAUUGUAUAUCAACCAAGAACAAAUGCUUUUUCUUCUACAAAACCAUAAAAUUUAAGAACAUUGCACCAAGAAGCCUCGGUAUACAUAUAAGAAAAGAUAUCAUGCUAUAUUACAGUUGAGGAUUACUAAAUUAACCAAAUACAAAUUGUUCAUAAGAAUGUCUUAAGCUCGCAAAUGCAUCAACUUCUUUAUAAAUUAGAGAAAGGCUUUAAGCAAUUUAUUCAAACUGAUAUAAUUAUUUCUGGUUACCUUACCAAUUUUAUGUUGUGCACUUAUUAGACAUAAGUGUCUUAAGUAUAUGAACAAAUAUAAUAUAUUGUCUUCUGCUAAAGAAGAAUCUAAUGUAUUUUUUUAAAAGGGAGACAAUUGGUGGCGAACUAUUAUUCAUCUUUUUCGGGUUCGGAGGAGGUAGGAAUUGCACCCUACCCGUAACCAUGAUCAAGCAUAUUCACACUUAUAAGUUAAAGAUCAAGGCAUUAAAUUGAUAAGGUCAGGGUCAAUUUUUUUUUCUUUUAUUUUGUUGUUGAACAAACGAUGUUAUCUUCACUGAGGGGAGGGGGGGUGAGCUUAGCCUCACAAUAGAUUAACGAUAAUAUGGUUCACAUUUUCUUUUGGUGAGAAUCGAAUCUAAGACUUUUUACUUACAAGUGAAGAUAAAUACUACUAAAUUGUAGUAUUAAGUGGCAGGUCUUGGUCAAUUUUGAGCCUUUUCUUUUUCAGUGUAAAAUUGUUAAUAAAGCAAAUUCAUCUCAAAAGUCUCUAACAUCCCAAUAAUACGCCACAUGCUCUAUCCUUUUGGCAGGUGGCAAGCGACAAAUAACCAACUUGGAAGGAAAAAUAUGGGUAACACUAUAUAGACAAAAAAUUUAUAUUAAAUUUGCAAACUAAAUGAUGUGUCACUAAUAAAGAUCAAACACGUUACUCAAGACUUAAGUAAUAAUUUAAUUAUCAAUUUUCAUGUUAUUUAGUUUACAAAAUUUAGUCUACAAAAUUAUUUUUCUGAGCAUUGCUCGACCGAGAAUAAUUGGAGUGUGACAACUUACAAGACUGAGAUGAGAGUCAAGAUGUUUGAUGAGCACAAUAUAAGACCAGCAAUAUUUACAAUUAUUUUAAUUUUGUAUCUUCCGUUUGGAAAUUGGAAAUAAAAAAAUUCAACCAUCUAAUUAUCCGUUUGGUAACAUAUUUAUGGCGCUCUGGAAUAUUUAGAUAUUCCAGAGUUCAUGGUCAAUUUUAGUUUCUAUAUUUUUAUAUUAAAAAGAAUUUAUUUAAAUAUUUAAAAAUUAAAAAUUUUGAAUUAUAAGAUACUCUAAAGUAACUUUAGAAAAUAUUUGUGUUUUUAUAGACUUUUAAAGUGGGAACGCAUCUCUAUAUCUUUGUUGGUGUAAUUAGUUAAGUCCGACGAGAGAAAACUUUCACUUCCGGUUUUGAAAGGAUGAAAUCGUAUAAGCUCCUAUCCAAAUUUUCUUUUGAUAGUCCCAUAGCUAAAGAAACCUACUUUCUUAUGAUUCCGAUAUUCAUUUGAAUAUGAAAUCCAAUUUGAAAAAUACAUUAGUCAACUUUUUAUUAUUACCCAAGGCUUUGAUACAUUUUAAAAUAGAGAAAUUUCUACUUCUUAUAUUUUUUUUAUUAAAAAUAUUUGAUUAAAUAUUUAAUAGUUGAAAAUUUGGAAGGAUAGGACUCAUAGGAGCAUACUAGAAAAUAGUCCAAUAAUGAUCGUGGUAAAGUGGAUAUGCACCUGAGACAUCAAGAGCGAAGUGGCCAUUUUCUUUGAACAGCUCAAAGUGAUGCAACACUGAGAACAUCGUCGGCGACUGGGUCCAAAGCGAAGCCACCGGAAUAUUCCUCCUAUUCCCGAUCCUCAAAGCCCAAACAAGGAAGGUAUCAGCAACUAUGGCGGUCACCGGCUGCUCGAGCCCAUCCAUAAGCUGCUCAACCGGAGCUUCCAGCUUGGUCCACACAGCUUCCACAAACGCGGCAAAGUCUUUCGCGCGACCGUGCUCGGAGGGUAUGACGUUGGGUAUGGUGGCUAAUCGGAUGUUUUCGGGUUUCGGGUUUGAUUCGAUGAACCCGCGCCACUCUUCGGUGACGACGAAGGUGAUGAAGAGUUGAGGGUUUUUUGAAGAUAGUUGCUUGCAGAGGUUCAUCAUGGGGUUGAUGUGCCCUCUUCCUGGAUAGGGUAAAGCCACUAGGUGGCAGACGGUGAUUGGCUCAAUCUUCAUUGUGCCCAUUUCUCUUUUGUAUGAAGUUUGAAGACUGAAGAUUGGAGAUUGAAGAUGUGAAGCCCUUGGCACCCAUCUUAUAUAUAAUAUGUAAGUAGACGGAAGGACAAAAAUACCCUCAAGUGUUACUUUAAAAAAAAAAUUAUAGCAAUGAUCUUUUAAUUUUACUCAAUUAGAAUAAUGAUCAUUCAAUAAAAAUUUUAAUUAAAUAUUUAAUAAUUAAAAAUUUUGAAUUAUAAGAUACUUUAAAGUAACUUAGGAAAUACUCCAAUAAUAAUGAUCGCGGUAAGUGUACACGCACCAGAGACAUCAAGGGGGAAGUGGCCAUUUUCUUUGAACAGCUCAAAGUGAUGCAACAUUGAGAACAUCGUCGGCGACGGGGUCCAAAGCGGAGCCACGGGAAUAUUCCUUCUAUUCCCGACCCUCAGUGCCCAAACAAGGAAGGUAUCAGCAACUAUGGCGGUCACCGGCGGCUCGAGCCCAUCCAGAAGCUGCUCAACCGGAGCUUCCACCUUGGCCCACACAGCUUCCAAAAACGCGGCAAAAUCUUUCGCGCGACCGUGCUCGGAGGGUAUGACGUUGGGUAUGGUGACUAAUCGGAUGUUGUCGGGUUUUGGGUCGGAUUCGAUGAACCCGUGCCACUCUUCGGUGACGACGAAGGUGAUGAGGAGUAGAGGGUUUUUUGAAGAUAGUAGCUUGCAGAGGUUCAUCAUGGGGUUGAUGUGGCCUCUUCCCGGAUAAGGCAAAGCCACCACGUGGCAGACUGAUUGUCUCAACUUCCGCUGUGCCCAUUUCUCCCUUGAAGAUUGAAGAC
This 9502-nucleotide long non-coding RNA is filed under the name Malus domestica (apple). RNAcentral's name for it is "long non-coding RNA (MDOM_LNC009976)". The record is from RNAcentral. Lineage: Eukaryota; Viridiplantae; Streptophyta; Magnoliopsida; Rosales; Rosaceae.